AUGCUCGAGAAGGCCACCAUCAGAAAGAAGCUCAAGCUGGAGGGCAAAUCGGCUGCCCCGAGCUCGGCGCUCCUGCUGCUGUCGGCUGAGCUGCUGGAGCUCGCUGCGAACGGCGGGCCUCCGCUCCUACGCAAGGACGCCGUGCAGCUGGCCGUUGCCUGCGGGAUUGUCACCGCCUGGGAUGACAUCAUUUUUGACUGCUCAAAAAUCAUCAAAGGGGACUACGCUUUAACUUGCUAGUUUGAAUCACGUGCGGACGACCUAGUUUUUGCCGUCACCAAUGUCUACGGACCCUGCGACUCUGCCUCCAAGCCUCUCUUCUUACAAUCCUUGGUUGAUUUGAUGCCAACUAUUUCCUGCCCUUGGACAAUCAUCGGUGACUUUAAUAUUACCCUCCGGCCCUCCGAAAGAUCCAUGACGCAUUUCAGUAUGGCCGAGGCUAAUCUUUUCGCCUCUGCAAUUAACACUCUCCAGCUCCAGGAUCUCCCUCUCCUUGAUAGGCGCCUUACUUGGUCUAACCAACAAGACAUGCCUAUCCUGGUUCGGCUCGAUAGAGCCCUUGCCAACGUUGCAUGGGCUACGACUUUCCCCGACACCUCUCUCUCUUCGAUCACUCGUACAACUUCCGACCACGUCCCUAUCCGUCUCACCGCUGCUACCACUAUCCCUCGAUCUACGGUGUUUCGCCUCAAUCGCUCCCUGCUCAGCAAUCCUCAUUUCAAGGAGAAGGUGAUGGCUAACUGGAGGAGUGUGGGCACUCGCCAUGCCCACCUUGGCUCUGCUGGAGUUCUAUCAUCGAAGAUUAAGCGCACCAGGAACAUGGCUAAGAAGUGGAUGGCCUCCUGUCGGUCCCCUAAGACCCUAGCCAUAAACUGUCGCACCACAAUUGAUUUUUUGGACAAAUUAGAGGAGGCUCGCCCCCUCUCCCAGCUCGAAUCGCACCUUCGAACCCUAGUCAAAGUCACUCUCCAUCGACACAAUGUUGCCAUUGCCGCUUACUAG
Molecule: ribosomal RNA, 1002 nt
Filed under: Triticum aestivum (bread wheat)
Lineage: Eukaryota; Viridiplantae; Streptophyta; Magnoliopsida; Poales; Poaceae
Description: partial small subunit ribosomal RNA
Source: RNAcentral